This 820-nucleotide long non-coding RNA is filed under the name Helianthus annuus (common sunflower). Lineage: Eukaryota; Viridiplantae; Streptophyta; Magnoliopsida; Asterales; Asteraceae. The record is from RNAcentral.
UGUGCCAAAGACUUGGAUUGAUGAUGAGUUCAGAAUAGUAAUUGAGGAAAUUGGCCUAGGUUCAGUAGUGUUAUUGAGAUCUUAUAAAGGAUCCUCAAGACCCGUCUCAUAACCGUUGGUUUGCUUUUGUUGAGUAUUACAAGAGUGCAUGUGUGGACUGUUCAAGACAGAAACUAGCUACCCCAAAUUUUAAACUUUAUGGAAACACCCCAACGGUUACUUGGGCUGAUCCUAAAAUCACCCCUGAUCAUUUUGGCUACUGCUGCACAGGGACUAAAACUAAAGCAUAGGAUGGCGUAAAAGCUACUUUAGCUCCAAAGGUAUGUUUUGUUUAAUGCCAGCAUUUAUAUCUUGAGCUUACUUAUAUAAUUUUAAGCUUUAUGAUCUCGAGGUCAUGGGUUCAAGUUGCGGGAAACAACCUCCUGCAUAAAGUAUAGGGUAAGGUGGCGUACAUCAUAUUGCGAAGCGAUCCGACCACACUCCCUGGACCUGUGCAAUUGCGGAAGUUAAGUCAAGCACCGGGGCUCUUCUGAAUUAAAAAGGAACUUUGUGGUUGAUUGUUGAUGAAAAGAAUGAUAAAUGUAGCAAGCUCCAGCUCAAAGUUAUAGAGUUUGCCGUGGUAAUCAUGUUCAGAGGAGUGAAGAUGAUGAGUUAACCUUUACGAAAGGGUCACUGAUCAUACCAUGUGGCCACCAUAAAUACACCUCUAUACAUCUCUUGAGGGGAGCAUUUUUUUUAGAUUUUUAUUUAUAAAAAAAGUUGUCUUUGUCCAUUACUAUUGGAAGUUCUUGGUGAAUAAGUUUUUGAUUUUUUUUUUGCA